This 253-nucleotide ribosomal RNA is filed under the name uncultured bacterium. RNAcentral's name for it is "partial 16S ribosomal RNA". It matches the Rfam family "Bacterial small subunit ribosomal RNA", at positions 524 to 776 of the family's 1533-position model. The record is from RNAcentral.
UACGGGGGGGGCAAGCGUUGUUCGGAAUUACUGGGCGUAAAGGGCGCGUAGGCGGCCUACUAAGACGGACGUGAAAUCCCUCGGCUCAACCGGGGAACUGCGUCCGAUACUGGUGGGCUCGAAUCCGGGAAAGGGAUGUGGAAUUCCAGGUGUAGCGGUGAAAUGCGUAGAUAUCUGGAGGAACACCGGUGGCGAAGGCGGCAUCCUGGACCGGUAUUGACGCUGAUGCGCGAAAGCCAGGGGAGCAAACGGG